GCCGAGCUCAGCAGCGCGAGCUUGUAACCCGAGCGGGGCCAUUAAGGUGGUGUGGACGUGUUGCCGUAUGGCUGCUCGCCUGUUUGCAGUGCCAUAGAUGGUCCGCCCGUUUCGAGUUUUGCGUAGCUGGGACGGCGGGGCUUGGGCGAAAGCUCUGGUCCUCACGGUUCCUAGAGUGGCAGGCGUUUCGUCAUUUUUUUUUUCUGAUGCUUUCGUUUGGAAAAAAAAAAGAAUAACAACUGCCAACUAAUAAUCAAUAUGGCAUUCUUGCUUAAAAAUUUGAAGACUAAUUGA
RNAcentral lists this non-coding RNA (294 nucleotides) under Oryza meridionalis. The record is from RNAcentral. Lineage: Eukaryota; Viridiplantae; Streptophyta; Magnoliopsida; Poales; Poaceae.